Chinchilla lanigera (long-tailed chinchilla) is the source of this 1584-nucleotide long non-coding RNA. RefSeq lists it as uncharacterized. NCBI's taxonomy places the organism in Eukaryota, Metazoa, Chordata, Mammalia, Rodentia, Chinchillidae. The record is from RefSeq and is a predicted model, not a curated record. The transcript has 5 exons.
CUGGAGAGGAGGGCGUGGCCUGCUCUGAGCAGGGCAGUGUCUGCUGGACAGCUGUCUCUCGUAUCUGGCUCCAUAUAACGGCUGUACCCUGAAUGACGGACCAACAGGUAGCUGCUACUCCUGGCUUUGUGAGAGAGGGUCACACUGCACAUUGCUAGCCCGUGGGAAAGGUCCAAAUUCCAAGCUGGAAGUGUGGCUUCUCACCGAGUGUGUACUGCUUCCCCACCGUUAUGAAGCCUAAAAAUCAUAAGGAUCUAUGUAUACCCACACGUGUCCUUCAAUAGAGGAGUAGAAGGAGAGCUGACGAGAAGAGGAGAAGACCAUGUGAUCAAAGAUGCAGAGACUGGAGUGAUGCAGUCAUCAACCAAGGAAUGCUGGCAGCCACAAGGAGCUGGAAGCAACCUGGCUGAUACUUUGAUUCUGGCCUGGUGAUACUGAUUUUAGACGUCUACCCUCCAGAACUACGAAAAACAGAUUUUCAUUAUUCUAAGACACCAAAUUCAUGACUGUUUGUCCCAGCACCCACAGGAAGCUAAUACAACUUCAGAAAGUGAGGCAUCCCUGCUACAGCACAGAUGGUUCUCCCUGCUGAUUGCCUUCCCCAUCACACAUGCCCAGGCUGAAAAGAAAACAAGGGCUUUGCAAAGCCUCGCGUGGAGCGCUCCAGGGAGUGAUCCUCGGCUUCUAGGCAUGGACCGCCGGUGGGUAUCUGACAUUUUUUAGGCCUGAGAAGAGGCUAGCUCCAUUCUGCUUACUUCUCCUGGGUAGGAAGACCAGAAGACAUGGACAUCAAGCCCUUGGCAGCACUGCCCACCCCAUGGACACCAGCCUCAACAACCACAAGGAAAUAAAGCAGCCAAGCAUCCUCGGGGGGGAAAGAGAUCAACUUCUGGGGACACAAGAGAGAGCAAGAGACACAACAGAAAGCAGGAGGUGAAGGGCUAAGAUCCUGAGUGUCUGGAGAAUGGCACGUGCUCCCAAGGGGGAGACCAGUAGGCCAGCCACGCGGCCUAUCUUUCCUCUUCUCUACGGCUCUGUGCCUGGCCAGGCGCUAGGAGCAGACAUGUGCUUCCUGGGCUGGCAGCCCGGGCACAGAGGCUGGGGGGCCACAUCCCCCCAGUGAAUGCACUGACUCCUGCAAUAUCCCUGUGAGGAGUGUGGAUCCUCCCUUGUUGCUCAGCUUGGAUGGCUGGAGUCUGAAGACGGGGAGAGACCUGCCUGGGGAGGAGGGCUCCAUCCCCUGAGCACUUCUCUCUGCCAAGCUCUGAGCUAAGCACUUCAGGAACACCACAGGUAGCCGGAUUCACAGGCAAGGGGAUCAGGACUCAGGGAGAAAAUAUCACCCAAGGCCCGUCUCAGGUGCUGCAUCAGGACAGCCUGAGUCCAGAGAACCUGUUCUUAGCAGAAAUGUCCCGCUUUCCCCUCCCACCUUCUCUUUCACUCCCAGACAUUUUGGGGGGAGGUCUUUCUCCCUUUGGGACCUAGGGGCCAGGGGGCUGCCUUUGUCACUCCUAAUUCCAAGGGCUCUUCAUAGAGCAGGGCACAAGCUCAGUCCAUGGGGAGCCAGGAAAUUCUCCCUCUGCU